UCCAUAAUAAAAUGCUCGAAGCGCUGAUAAAAAACUCAAUCAUAAAACUUGGCUUUCGCGCUGAAGGCAAAGUCAGCGAUAAAAAUUCGAGAUGAAACCAGUAGCAGCAGCUUGGCAUAAAAUAAAGAUCUUGGCUAUGAACGUUGGCUCCUAUAAAACUUGAAAAUGAUUGCUCAUCCAUUAAUGCAUAGACAGUCCUGAGGAUAGCUAUGGGCGACUGCAUAACUCAACUUAGAAAGAGACUUGGACUCGAGUAAGUGCCUUGAGAUUUUUCAUUUUUAUUGAAAAUAUUACUACCAUACUUAUAUAUACAUAUAUAUAUUUUACAUUUGUACUUUACGUGAAUAUUACACAGUCUUCAGACAUUACCACCACAUUCAAUUGCAUCACCUAAACUGAAAGAAUUUUGUAUUGUCUUUCAUUCAACAUUACCCAAAAAUGUCAAAUAUUUUUAAUUAUCGUUACACUUGACAGAAAAAGCGCCUGAAAAUGCUUGGAAGCAGGAGGAAUUCAUUUUUGGGUUUACCUUAAAUCUCUGAAGAAAGCUAACAAUCACUUAAGUUCUGUCUAGUUUAUGCACCUCUGUAAUUUAUAUUUCUCUUUAGUACAGAUGUACGAUUAUAUAUGAUUAUAUGUACGAUUAUAUAGAUAAAUAUCAAUUGAAAAUUUUAGAAGAUAAUUAAACAGUAUAUAAUGGAAUAUCAAUAAAAGAUAGCUACAGAGUA
Drosophila mojavensis is the source of this 725-nucleotide long non-coding RNA. RefSeq lists it as uncharacterized. The transcript is spliced from 2 exons. The record is from RefSeq and is a predicted model, not a curated record. NCBI's taxonomy places the organism in Eukaryota, Metazoa, Arthropoda, Insecta, Diptera, Drosophilidae.